This 207-nucleotide ribosomal RNA is filed under the name uncultured bacterium. RNAcentral's name for it is "partial 16S ribosomal RNA". It matches the Rfam family "Bacterial small subunit ribosomal RNA", at positions 524 to 731 of the family's 1533-position model. The record is from RNAcentral.
UACAGGGGGGGCAAGCGUUGUUCGGAAUUACUGGGCGUAAAGGGCUCGUAGGCGGCCAACUAAGUCCACGCGAAAUCCCCAGCUUAACCCUGGGAACUGCGUCGGAUAUGGAUGGCUUAAUUCGGGAGAGGGAUGCAGAUUCCAGGUGUAGCGGUGAAAAUGCGUAGGAUAUCUGGGAGGAAUACCGGGUGGCGAAGGCGCAUCCUG